UCCCGCGAUGAUUAUGCUGCGUUCGAAGUUUUACUGUACUUCUCAUGUUAAAAACUUCACGAUUUUCACCACAAAAAGGACGUCAUUGGUGAAACGUGGGACGUCCUAUGGUACCAUAUUUCCACAUAAACAACUCAAAAGAUGGUCAAUUGAUGCAGACAGCUGUUAACAAGUUAACAUCCAGCCUUUUCCUACCAGUACUUAUUCAUCUCUUUGCCAUCAACCUUUCAAGAUUACAUCACUAACUGAUUAAAAGAAGAGUUACAAUGUACAGUAUGCAUCCAAAAAUUGCACAACCUGGACAGAAUGCUGGAACAUGCCUCAUGGAUAAGAACUUGAGUUUCUCCUGCAUCUGCCCUAACGGCUGCAUCAGGCACAUGUAUAAUGCGUGAAUGGGUGGCUGUGUAGACCAGCCACUGAGUACCUGCAGGCAGUACAGGCAACGUUGAUGUGGAAACUCUUGCUAGUUAUCACUACAAAGAAACUCACCCACAACUGUACCUUUUACAGUGUGCCAUGGACUUCAUCGGCGAGUGAUUGCACUGUCUCUUCCAGGGCAGCUCCUUGAAAGAACUGAUCAUUAGUUACAUGGGUAUGGUAAGGAUAAUGCUUGAAGUCCAAGUGAAUCAUAUCAAAUAAUGCUUGGAUAGACCACAGGUUUGGGGAACUAGGUGAUUUGCUUUUACUUUAUAGAGCCUACGUUGCAGAUUGGUUAAUUCCUUUUUUCACUUAUAAUCGAGCACCCGAGAAGUAUUACCCGUGAUUUAUUCAGUAGUAAAGAGCCUGCAUUUGCCACACUCAGAGAGGCUUUCCUGAAUAUUAAAUCCAGUAACAAUCCAAGCACAGUGUCCACAUAAUUAUGCACGUCACAGAACACUAAAGAAAAGUCCUUGGGCUCAGCAAUGGUGUUCCAUAUUGUGCAGACUUUCUGCAGGGGAAGUGGUUGGAUGUCAAAGGAUGAAUUAGAAUACUGAAAUUUUUAUUAUUAUUUGAAACCAAUCCUUUUUCCUGAAUGCUACAUUUUUUGUUCACUUCUUCUUUGAUUAUGGGAGAUGGGCUGGUUCCGGAUGUAUGCGCAGUUAUCAGGUAUGUUGUCAAGACACCUGUUACUGCCUGUUACUCCUGGUAUGAAGAUCUGUUGUUUUUACUGUUGUACUGAAUACGUGCCAUCCUUGAUCUGAAGUGGGUUGGGCAAACACAGCACAGAUAUUGAACUAACUUGAGCAGAGAAAAAGUGGUGAUGCUUGCUAUGAUGGAUGCGAUCAGAAGGUUGGACAAAACCCUCCACAGAUUCUCUAUCUUGAUUGGCCAAGAACCAGUCACGUGUCUUUCACUUUAUUGCUAUCUGGCAUUUCCCGUCCAA
Molecule: long non-coding RNA, 1363 nt
Organism: Acanthaster planci (crown-of-thorns starfish)
Lineage: Eukaryota; Metazoa; Echinodermata; Asteroidea; Valvatida; Acanthasteridae
Source: RefSeq, a predicted model, not a curated record